Molecule: non-coding RNA, 73 nt
Organism: Myotis davidii
Lineage: Eukaryota; Metazoa; Chordata; Mammalia; Chiroptera; Vespertilionidae
Source: Rfam
GCCGAUUUGGCUCAGUAGAUAGAGCAUUGGCCUGUGGACCCAAGGGUCCCGGGUUCAAUUCCAGCUAAGGGCA